This is a long non-coding RNA of Stylophora pistillata, 518 nucleotides long. RefSeq lists it as uncharacterized. The record is from RefSeq and is a predicted model, not a curated record. Lineage: Eukaryota; Metazoa; Cnidaria; Anthozoa; Scleractinia; Pocilloporidae.
UAGAUUUAAAACGCCCUCUGUUUUUACGACAUAUUCUAAUAAUAAUCGUUAGUUCUAGUUUCGAUGAAGCGUGCUAAAAUUUGCUGCGUAUUAGUUAGGAAUUCGCAGAUUCGUGCGUGUACUAUAGGCUAAGUUCGUGCGUAGGAAAUGAGCUAACACUUCCAUAUGGUGUACAUUACAAGUUUUAAGUAACAUCCUGUGCACAGUCACGCAUGCACUCAUUAUAAAAGGCGACUUAAGAUAGCGUGCGAGAGAGUCAUUCCGCAACCGCUACGAUCAGAGGAUCAAUCUGCUACAAGCUACCUUUUGAGCUAUACUUUCUGCUGUGCGAGUCGUCACCAAAUUCGAACCUACACGACUCUAUUCGACACUAAACUACCCUAUAUUUCUACUCUACUUCGUUUUAUUCUCCGCGACCACGAACUUUGCUACCGUGACUUUCACGAUCUGUCAUCAUCGUCGCAACCAGUGUAAUUCGUCUAUCUUGAACUGUGAUUAAACGUGUGUUAGUCAUUCUA